RNAcentral lists this ribosomal RNA (301 nucleotides) under uncultured bacterium. Its description in RNAcentral is "partial 16S ribosomal RNA". It matches the Rfam family "Bacterial small subunit ribosomal RNA", at positions 509 to 809 of the family's 1533-position model. The record is from RNAcentral.
CAGCAGCCGCGGUAAUACGAAGGGUGCAAGCGUUAAUCGGAAUUACUGGGCGUAAAGCGUGCGUAGGCGGUGAGUUAAGUCUGCUGUGAAAUCCCCGGGCUCAACCUGGGAAUGGCAGUGGAUACUGGCUCGCUAGAGUGUGUCAGAGGAUGGUGGAAUUCCCGGUGUAGCGGUGAAAUGCGUAGAGAUCGGGAGGAACAUCAGUGGCGAAGGCGGCCAUCUGGGCCAACACUGACACUGAGGCGCGAAAGCGUGGGGAGCAAACAGGAUUAGAUACCCCAGUAGUCCCUGUCUCUUAUAU